AGAUGUGAUGGCAAUCUGGCUCUGACAUCUGUCAUCCCAGUGAUUCUCACGGUUGGUGUGGUUUGGCUGGAUAGACAGACCAACGUCCCCUUCCUCCCUCAUUUCUUUCCUCACUACAUGUUUACUUGAAGAAUUAUUUCCACAUCCUCUCAUGGAAAAGGAUCAUUAUUUGGUCAAGGGUGCAUCAGUACCUACAUUCCACUGAUAGAACUUCCAAACAAGCUCUUAAGAAUCUGUUUUUUCCCUUCUUAACUAGCAUUGUAUGUUGAUUUCCCUUUCCUGCCUUGGUGAGAACGAAUAG
Molecule: small RNA, 301 nt
Filed under: Mus spicilegus (steppe mouse)
Lineage: Eukaryota; Metazoa; Chordata; Mammalia; Rodentia; Muridae
Description: 7SK RNA (ENSMSIG00000007135.1)
Rfam family: 7SK RNA
About the family: 7SK was discovered as an abundant small nuclear RNA in the mid-70s but a possible function has only recently been suggested. Two independent studies have found that 7SK RNA binds the CDK9/cyclin T complex (known as elongation factor P-TEFb). P-TEFb activates transcription by phosphorylating the C-terminal domain of RNA polymerase II.
Source: RNAcentral